Molecule: ribosomal RNA, 524 nt
Filed under: uncultured bacterium
Lineage: Bacteria
Description: partial 16S ribosomal RNA
Rfam family: Bacterial small subunit ribosomal RNA
Source: RNAcentral
GACGAACGCUGGCGGCGUGCCUAAUACAUGCAAGUCGAGCGCAGGAAAUCGACGGAACCCUUCGGGGGGAAGUCGACGGAAUGAGCGGCGGACGGGUGAGUAACACGUAAAGAACCUGCCCACAGGUCUGGGAUAACCACGAGAAAUCGGGGCUAAUACCGGAUGGGUCAUCGGACCGCAUGGUCCGAGGAUGAAAGGCGCUUCGGCGUCGCCUGGGGAUGGCUUUGCGGUGCAUUAGCUAGUUGGUGGGGUAAUGGCCCACCAAGGCGACGCUGCAUAGCCGACCUGAGAGGGUGAUCGGCCACACGGGGACUGAGACACGGCCCAGACUCCUACGGGAGGCAGCAGUAGGGAAUCUUCCACAAUGGACGAAAGUCUGAUGGAGCAACGCCGCGUGAACGAUGAAGGCCUUCGGGUCGUAAAGUUCUGUUGUAAGGGAAGAACAAGUGCCGCAGGCAAUGGCGGCACCUUGACGGUACCUUGCGAGAAAGCCACGGCUAACUACGUGCCAGCCGCCGCCGUAA